Oncorhynchus kisutch (coho salmon) is the source of this 2940-nucleotide long non-coding RNA. RefSeq lists it as uncharacterized. NCBI's taxonomy places the organism in Eukaryota, Metazoa, Chordata, Actinopteri, Salmoniformes, Salmonidae. The transcript has 3 exons. The record is from RefSeq and is a predicted model, not a curated record.
GGUCUGCCCAAGAACACGUUCUUCAUGUCAGACAAGUCCUCCAGCAUCUCCUGGAGAACCAAUUGUGUGUGAACGCCGAGAAAUGUGAGUUUCACCGCUCAACAAUCUCCUUUCUGGGAUAUGUCAUCGCUGCUGGAAAUGUCCAAAUGGAUCAGGAAAAAUUGAAAGCGGUGGUGGAGUGGCCUCAGCCUACGUCCAGUGUGCAGUUGCAACGUAUCCUGGGGGUCGCUAAUUUCUACCGCCGUUUCAUGCGGGGCUCUGGCGGCCCCCCUCUCGGCACUCACCUCUCCCAAAGUUCUGUUCACAUGGUCUCCAGCGGCUGACAAAGCCUUCGUGGACCUGAAACAUCGGUUCACCACAGCACCCAUCCUCGUCCAUCCGUAUCCAUCCCGUCAAUUUGUGGUAGAGGUUGAUGCUUCUGUUAUUGGAGUGGGGGCCAUCCUGUCUCAGCGAUCUGCACAGGACCAGAAGCUCCAUCUUUGUGCCUUCCUGUCUCAUCGUCUCAGUCCGGCAGAGAGUAACUAUGACGUUGGCAACAGAGAACUCCUGGCUGUCAAGUUGAGGCUGGAGGAGUGGAUGAAUUGGCUGGAAGGAGUAGAAGAGCGCUUUGUGGUCUGAACCGACCUGCCUUAACUCCAGGCAGGCCCUGUGGGUUUUUUUGUUCACCAGAUUCAACUUCACCAUUUACUACAGCACAGGGUUAAAAAAUGUGAAGCCGGAGGCCCUCUUCCGCAUAUACAGUUCCUCUACCACACCCUCGGUCUCCGAAACCAUUCUCCCUACCUCAUGCCUUGCUGCUUCAGUGGAUUGGGGUAUUGAAAAAUGUGGUCGCAAGUCACAAUGUUCCCAGCCUGAACCUGAAGGGGGCCAGGCUAACCGAUUAUUUGUUCCUAACUCAGUCCGAUCCCGGUUCCUGGAAUGGGCUCAUUCCUCAAGGCUGACCUGUCAUCCAGUUUCCCGUCGUACCCUAGUCUUCAUCCGACAACGUUUCUGGUGGCCCACAAUGGUUCCUGACGUCUCUGCCUUCGCCACCGAGUGCACAGCUUGUUCUCUCGAUUCUCCAAGGCCGCCCAUUUCAUCCCUCUCCCCAAAUUACCCUCUGCCAAGGAGAUGGCCCAGCUUAUGUUGCAGCACGUCUUCCGGAUCCAUGGACUCCCGGUGGACAUGGUCUCCGACCGGGGUCCUCAGUUCUCGUCACAGUUCUGGAAGGUGUCCUGCUCCCUCAUUGGAUCGUCGACCAGCCUGUCCCCUGGAUUUCAUCUCCAAUCCAACGGCCAGUUGGAGCGAGCCAACUAGGACCUUGAAACCACCCUGAGAUGCCUGGUCUCAACCAACCCCACUACCUGGAGACGACAACUGGUCUGGGUGGCGUAUGCCCGGAACACCCUUCCCUGUUCGGCCAUGGGACUCUCUCCUUUUGAGUGCUCUUUGGGGUAUCAACGUCCACUCUCCACAAGAGCAAGAGGCCAGCGUACCCUCGGCUCAGAUGUUUGUCCACCGACUGUCGAUGUACCUGGAGAAGAGCUCGGGGGGGAAUUCUCAAGACCAACUCCAGGUAUCGUCGAUGAGUUGAACGUCGUCGGACCCCAGCUCCCCGCUACCGUUUUGGGCAUGGCUUUCCACUCGGGACCUGCCCCUUCGGGUGGAGUCCCGCAAAAUGAUCCCCUGUUUCAUUGGUCCUUUUCCCAUCUCUAGAGUCCUUAGUUCCACUGCUGUCCGUCUUGUGUUACCCAGUACCCUCCAUAUUCACCCUACCUUCCAUGUGUCUAGGAUUAAACCCGUGUCUCACAGUCCUUUGUCUUGUUUUUCUAGGCCCAUCCCUCCCCCUGGGUCAUCAAUGACCAGCCAGAAUAUACGGUGAGAUGCCCCUUGAGGGUUCGACUACAGGGUAGGGGUUUCCAGUACCUGGUUGACUGGGAGGGUUAUGGCCCGGAGGAGACGUGCUGGGUCCCUGCUAAAGACAUCCUGGACCCGGCCCUCAUUGACGGUUUUCACCGCCGACACCUCGGUCAGCCAGGUAUGCGCCCAGGGAUGGACGCUGCAAAUUAGCACCAACUUGAUGGGGCAGCUCAGUGUGAACAAGCAAGGUCGGGACAUCACAGACGUGCUGUCGUACCUGAUUCUCCGCAGGACUGAAGACGCUGGUGUCACUCAGACUGUCAGAACUGGAGGAUGAAUCGCUGUAUGACGGCUGAGUCUCCUGAAAUGGAGAGGAAGGGAGUGUGAGGAAGAGAGGGGGAGUAUUUAAAUCAUUUGCCAUUUUGCAUAUAGUGACAUUCUACCAGGUUUCACAAACCUCUCCUUCGAGUACCCCGCAGCCAGUCCACGUCUUCGAUGAACUCCAGAACAAAUGAUCUCCUAAUCAUCAAGCCCUUCAUUUGUUGAAUCAGCAGUGCUAGUUCUGGAAUACAUCAAAUAACUGGACUGGCUGGGGUUACUCCAGAACCGGUUUGGGAAACUCUGGUCUAAACUAUCGGAACUUCCUUUGCAUCACGACAAGGGUGUGUAAGUCUACCUGGGUCAGUGCUGUAGAUUUGAAUGGGUUGACUUUCUGCAUCAUUCCCUUGAACAUCCCAGGGUUCUGAAAAAAAAAACAGGUGAACACAGAAAUCACUUAGUACUGAUAAUAAAAUGUUCCUCUACUAGCCCGGUUCUAUUUCUAUACUAAGAAGGUGUAUGCCUCAGCACCUGGGAUAAACAGGUUUACCUGUUUGCCUGCAGAACUGUUACUCUCAGCCAGACUGCCAGAACUGGAGGAAAGAUCACUGUGUAUGGACUGGGUGUCCUGAAAAAGAAGGCAGAGAGAAAAUAGUCCAUUUGAAUAUUUAGCAUAACUUUGCAACAUGAUACAGGUUGAUCAUAAUCACCACGGCUACCUGAAUCGGUGUUGUAGAUUUGAAAGGGUUGACUUUUUGCAUCAUUCCCAUAAACAUUCCAGGA